GUCAAGGUGGUGGAGUGGUUAACACGUUCGCCUGCUAUUAUCACUUGGUAAAGUUAAGCGGAUGCCUUCGGGCGCGCAGGUUCGAAUCCUGUCCUUGACG
This is a non-coding RNA of Choiromyces venosus 120613-1, 100 nucleotides long. Lineage: Eukaryota; Fungi; Ascomycota; Pezizomycetes; Pezizales; Tuberaceae. The record is from the annotation of a GenBank genome assembly.